This 465-nucleotide ribosomal RNA is filed under the name uncultured Klebsiella sp. RNAcentral's name for it is "bacterial SSU rRNA". It matches the Rfam family "Bacterial small subunit ribosomal RNA", at positions 338 to 795 of the family's 1533-position model. The record is from RNAcentral. Lineage: Bacteria; Pseudomonadati; Pseudomonadota; Gammaproteobacteria; Enterobacterales; Enterobacteriaceae.
CCUACGGGUGGCAGCAGUGGGGAAUAUUGCACAAUGGGCGCAAGCCUGAUGCAGCCAUGCCGCGUGUGUGAAGAAGGCCUUCGGGUUGUAAAGCACUUUCAGCGGGGAGGAAGGCGGUGAGGUUAAUAACCUCAUCGAUUGACGUUACCCGCAGAAGAAGCACCGGCUAACUCCGUGCCAGCAGCCGCGGUAAUACGGAGGGUGCAAGCGUUAAUCGGAAUUACUGGGCGUAAAGCGCACGCAGGCGGUCUGUCAAGUCGGAUGUGAAAUCCCCGGGCUCAACCUGGGAACUGCAUUCGAAACGGGCAGGCUAGAGUCUUGUAGAGGGGGGUAGAAUUCCAGGUGUAGCGGUGAAAUGCGUAGAGAUCUGGAGGAAUACCGGUGGCGAAGGCGGCCCCCUGGACAAAGACUGACGCUCAGGUGCGAAAGCGUGGGGAGCAAACAGGAUUAGAUACCCGAGUAGUC